AUGAGUUUACCGAAUUGUUUCAAAACUUGUAAGCGUAGUUUUUGUAGCCUAUAUGUUACAGUGUCUGGGAGCUGGAAGAGCACGGAGGGUGGGGAGAGGUACAAGGCAGGAGCAGGGGGCACCCACCCCGGUGCCAGCCAGGCCCACACCAACAGAACACAGCCCUGUGGGGCCUGGGCUAGGUGUGCAGAGCCCCCGAGACAGACUCCCUGGAAGGGUGAGGGGUGGAUCAGGCCGGAGGGCUUUCCAAGGAACCCAGACAGGGCCAGCAGGGGACAGGGAUGGACACAGGCACCCUACGGCACACCUUGGUGGGGACGAAAACUGAAAUUGUGUUCCUGGGCCACACGGAGGUACUGGAGAGAGGCCUGGUGGUGCUGGGCUGGCUGCAGACCGCCUCUAUGCUAUGGAGAAACAGGACUCUUUUACAUCAGGAGUUGAAAUGCCUACAAUUGUCUACAAAACUAGGAACCAGGAAAGUAUUCUGUAGCAUACAGAAAAAAACUGAGCUGAAAAGACUGAUGUUCAUUUUGUAACAUGGAAAAUACCAUCAGCCUCAGGGAAAAGAUUUUGGGAUGGUUAGCAUAUCUUCCUUAACUUGUGAACUUUCCCAACAUGGCUUUGAACAAUAUUAAAGAAAAGUAGCAGGGAGAAUUAGGGAUUGAAGGACUUUCACUGCCAUGAAAGCCAGCUGAAUGCAUAGGGCAGAGUGACGGUAAGGGCAAUUUAGCUGCCGUCAGAACAGCACUUCCAGGCUGGAGAAGUCUUCUGCAGAGGAAUCAGAUAUGACUGGAAGAGUAGUUGACAGCAGCUGGUACACACUGUGCAUGCUGUAGCCACCUGGUGACCUGCAGCCACCUGGUGACUCACUAAACUGAGAAACAACAUUAGACAAACAAAAUAAAAUGGGGAGAAAUAAACUCGUACUUAGAGCA
Molecule: long non-coding RNA, 935 nt
Filed under: Anser cygnoides (Swan goose)
Lineage: Eukaryota; Metazoa; Chordata; Aves; Anseriformes; Anatidae
Description: lncRNA (ENSACDG00005012943.1)
Source: RNAcentral